Molecule: transfer RNA, 79 nt
Filed under: Haliotis rufescens (red abalone)
Lineage: Eukaryota; Metazoa; Mollusca; Gastropoda; Lepetellida; Haliotidae
Description: tRNA-Ser
Rfam family: tRNA
About the family: Transfer RNA (tRNA) molecules are approximately 80 nucleotides in length. Their secondary structure includes four short double-helical elements and three loops (D, anti-codon, and T loops). Further hydrogen bonds mediate the characteristic L-shaped molecular structure. tRNAs have two regions of fundamental functional importance: the anti-codon, which is responsible for specific mRNA codon recognition, and the 3' end, to which the tRNAs corresponding amino acid is attached (by aminoacyl-tRNA synthetases). tRNAs cope with the degeneracy of the genetic code in two manners: having more than one tRNA (with a specific anti-codon) for a particular amino acid; and 'wobble' base-pairing, i.e. permitting non-standard base-pairing at the 3rd anti-codon position.
Source: RNAcentral
GGCGACCGCCUCGGUGGUCUAGUGGUAGAACGUCCGCCCGGAGAGCGGAAGGUCCGGGGUUCGAUCCCCAGCCGCGUCA